UAAGGUUAAGUUAAUAAGGGCGCACGGUGGAUGCCUUGGCACUAGAAGCCGAAGAAGGACGUGACAAACGACGAAAUGCUUUGGGGAGCUGUAAGUAAGCGACGAUCCAGAGAUGUCCGAAUGGGGGAACCCACUAGCUGAUGGCUAGUACUCCUAUCUGUUAAGGAUAGGUAGAGGAAGACGCAGUGAACUGAAACAUCUAAGUAGCUGCAGGAAGAGAAAGCAAAAGCGAUUGCCUGAGUAGCGGCGAGCGAAACGGCAGGAGGGCAAACCGAAGAGUUUACUUUUCGGGGUUGUAGGACUGCAAUGUGGACUUAAAGAUUAUAGAAGAAUGACAUGGGAAGGUCAGCCAAAGAGAGUAAGAGCCUCGUAUUCGAAAUAGUCUUUAUACCUAGCAGUAUCCUGAGUACGGCGGGACACGAGAAAUCCCGUCGGAAUCUGGGAGGACCAUCUCCCAACCCUAAAUACUCUCUAGUGACCGAUAGUGAACCAGUACCGUGAGGGAAAGGUGAAAAGCACCCCGGGAGGGGAGUGAAAUAGAACCUGAAACCGUGUGCCUACAACAAGUUCGAGCCCGUUAAUGGGUGAGAGCGUGCCUUUUGUAGAAUGAACCGGCGAGUUACGAUAUGAUGCGAGGUUAAGUUGAAGAGACGGAGCCGUAGGGAAACCGAGUCUGAAUAGGGCGGAUUAGUAUUAUGUCGUAGACCCGAAACCAUGUGACCUACCCAUGAGCAGGUUGAAGGUGAGGUAAAACUCACUGGAGGACCGAACCAGGGCACGUUGAAAAGUGCUUGGAUGACUUGUGGGUAGCGGAGAAAUUCCAAACGAACUUGGAGAUAGCUGGUUCUCUCCGAAAUAGCUUUAGGGCUAGCGUCGACAUUAAGAUUCUUGGAGGUAGAGCACUGUUUGGGUGAGGGGUCCAUCCCGGAUUACCAAUCUCAGAUAAACUCCGAAUGCCAAUGAAUUAUGGUCGGCAGUCAGACUGCGAGUGCUAAGAUCCGUAGUCGAAAGGGAAACAGCCCAGACCACCAGCUAAGGUCCCAAAAUAAUUGUUAAGUGGAAAAGGAUGUGGGGUUGCACAGACAACUAGGAUGUUAGCUUAGAAGCAGCUAUUCAUUCAAAGAGUGCGUAAUAGCUCACUAGUCGAGUGACCCUGCGCCGAAAAUGUACCGGGGCUAAAACAAUUUACCGAAGCUGUGGAUACCUUUAUAGGUAUGGUAGGAGAGCGUUCUAUGUGUGGAGAAGGUGUACCGUGAGGAGCGCUGGAACGCAUAGAAGUGAGAAUGCCGGUAUGAGUAGCGAAAGACAGGUGAGAAUCCUGUCCACCGUAAGACUAAGGUUUCCAGGGGAAGGCUCGUCCGCCCUGGGUUAGUCGGGACCUAAGGAGAGACCGAAAGGUGUAUCCGAUGGACAACAGGUUGAUAUUCCUGUACUAGAGUAUGUAGUGAAGGAGGGACGCAGUAGGCUAACUAAAGCGUGCGACUGGAAGUGCACGUCUAAGCAGUGAGGUGUGAAUUGAGUUAAAUGCUUAAUUCUGUAACAUUGAGCUGUGAUGGGGAGCGAAGUUUAGUAGCGAAGUUAGUGACGUCACACUGCCAAGAAAAGCUUCUAGCGUUAAUCAUACUCUACCCGUACCGCAAACCGACACAGGUAGUCGAGGCGAGUAGCCUCAGGUGAGCGAGAGAACUCUCGUUAAGGAACUCGGCAAAAUGACCCCGUAACUUCGGGAGAAGGGGUGCUGGCUUUCAGUCAGCCGCAGUGAAUAGGCCCAAGCAACUGUUUAUCAAAAACACAGCUCUCUGCUAAAUCGUAAGAUGAUGUAUAGGGGGUGACGCCUGCCCGGUGCUGGAAGGUUAAGAGGAGUGCUUAGCGUAAGCGAAGGUAUGAAUUGAAGCCCCAGUAAACGGCGGCCGUAACUAUAACGGUCCUAAGGUAGCGAAAUUCCUUGUCGGGUAAGUUCCGACCCGCACGAAAGGCGUAAUGAUUUGGGCACUGUCUCAACGAGAGACUCGGUGAAAUUUUAGUACCUGUGAAGAUGCAGGUUACCCGCGACAGGACGGAAAGACCCCAUGGAGCUUUACUGCAGUUUGAUAUUGAGUGUCUGUGCCACAUGUACAGGAUAGGUAGGAGCCAUUGAGAUCGGGACGCCAGUUUCGAUGGAGGCGUUGUUGGGAUACUACCCUUGUGUUAUGGCCACUCUAACCCGG
Molecule: ribosomal RNA, 2207 nt
Filed under: Streptococcus sp. HMSC065E03
Lineage: Bacteria; Bacillati; Bacillota; Bacilli; Lactobacillales; Streptococcaceae
Description: bacterial LSU rRNA
Rfam family: Bacterial large subunit ribosomal RNA
Source: RNAcentral